GAUAUACCAAGGUAGUGGGAAUUUUAUAAAUUUUUCAGAGAAUGUUCCUUAGAUAACCAAAAAGAAAAAAAAAUCAAACAAAAAAGCUGGAAAGCAACGGUUGCUAGGGAAUUCCGCUUAUUGAUAUUUGCCUAACAACAGUAACAAAUUGCUCAAAAUUUCUUCUGAAAAUGCUCCAAUUUAAAGAAAAGAAUUAUAAAUCUUGCAGAAGAUGCAAUUAUUAGAUAUAUAUUUUUUUACAGACGG
This 246-nucleotide long non-coding RNA is filed under the name Mytilus galloprovincialis (Mediterranean mussel). Lineage: Eukaryota; Metazoa; Mollusca; Bivalvia; Mytilida; Mytilidae. The record is from RNAcentral.